AUGUUUGCUGACUGUUUGUAUUUUAUCUCUAGAGACAUUCCACGGAGAAGUAUUCUGCAGCUUACUUGCUGAAUCUUCACCUGGACUAUCUGUGCCUCGUUGCCUGGCUUUCUGUGCCCUUCACUUCUUCAAGGACGCCAAGCCACUCUCUUCUCGCUGGCUUCGACUGAGAUGAGAGCUCUGCUGUAAUCUCUGACUUGGUUGCUGUGCGUGAAAAGCAUCUCACUUCGUCCUCAUCCCAGGUUUUCUUUGAAGGUUUCUCUUUUAGCACCAGUUCUGAAAGCAACUUGAUUACGCCAUCUGUAGAUCCAAGGCAAUCCAAAUCAAGCCAGCAAUGACAGCAUGACAGAAGCAAUCGUAAACUGUGUACAGAGUCACAAAAGACCUCCAGCAGCCAAAGCAAUACUGAAGAAAAGUGAAAAAUCUGGACACAUCACACUAUCUGACUUCAAAAUAAUCUACAAAGCUACAGUGACUAAAACAGCAUGGCACUGUUGUCUGUCAGAUCAGAUGCGUAGACCAAUGGAACAGAGCAGAGGAUGUGUUUACAACAAACUGACUUCUGAUGAAAGUGCCAAGAGGGGAAAGGUCAGGCUCUGCGGGCUACCCCGAGGUGGAACAAGGAGACUUCAUCUCAGCUCACUGAGAUGGACAACAAUGGCUUGUUCUACAGCCAUGGAAGGGCUCAGAUAAGAAGACAGCUAUAUCAAUGAUUUCUUUAAAGAAAAAAUUAAAGGACUCCAAGCAAUCACCCUGUAUUCAACUCUGCCUCCCACCAAAACCCUCACUGGAGAAAAGUAUAAAGAGAAUUACUCUGAA
Peromyscus leucopus (white-footed mouse) is the source of this 819-nucleotide long non-coding RNA. RefSeq lists it as uncharacterized. NCBI's taxonomy places the organism in Eukaryota, Metazoa, Chordata, Mammalia, Rodentia, Cricetidae. The transcript has 3 exons. The record is from RefSeq and is a predicted model, not a curated record.